Molecule: small nucleolar RNA, 107 nt
Filed under: Ricinus communis (castor bean)
Lineage: Eukaryota; Viridiplantae; Streptophyta; Magnoliopsida; Malpighiales; Euphorbiaceae
Description: Plant small nucleolar RNA R71
Rfam family: Plant small nucleolar RNA R71
About the family: R71 is a member of the C/D box family of snoRNAs containing the C (UGAUGA) and D (CUGA) box motifs. Multiple nearly identical copies of this snoRNA have been identified in Arabidopsis, and it is thought to function as a 2'-O-ribose methylation guide for 18S ribosomal RNA.
Source: Rfam by way of RNAcentral
AAUCCAUGAUGUGUGCAGCAUUGUAGUAGGUCCUUGUACCUCUCCCAAGUGUCGUACAUUGACUCAUUGUCAAACUGCAUAAAAAAAGAUAUGUCAUCUCUAAGUUU